This 31074-nucleotide long non-coding RNA is filed under the name Gossypium raimondii (Peruvian cotton). RNAcentral's name for it is "long non-coding RNA (GRAI_LNC006659)". The record is from RNAcentral. Lineage: Eukaryota; Viridiplantae; Streptophyta; Magnoliopsida; Malvales; Malvaceae.
CUUGACCAUGUACAGCGUCAUAGCCGCUUCCGAAAAUGGGGGAAUUUCCGCUGGCAAUGGAGUUCAUUAGUUCAUGUAGAUUGUUGCCAGCCGUAUCUCCGAAAAUGGCGCCGAAGUUGGAGGUUUUGGUUCCGGUUGAAGAAGAGUUUGCAAAGGUUCUUAGAAGGGAAUCGUCGUUGGUGUUUUUGUUGCUUGAAGUAGAGCCCAUUUGAGCAGCCUUUUGAAGCAAUGCGGUGGCUGACAUUUGGGGCACCAUGUCAUUGUUUUGAACCGAUGAGCUAAAGAGAGAAGGGAUGUUGGAAGUCAUUUGAUCACUCAUUAAGUUGUUGGAGAAGAGGUUGGCGGCGUUGUUGGUCCCACCAUUGCCGCCGUUUUCAUUGUUGAAAUUAUCAGACAUGAGCAAACCCGAAGAUGUUAAAUUAUAAUCGCCAGCACCGCCAUUGUUGCCACUGUUGGAAAGGAAGCUAAGGUUGAAGAGAUUGGCAGCCGAAGAAGCGUUGCUUGCGUUGUUGUUGUUGUUGUUGUUGUUGUCGUCGGGAGGAAACUGCAUUAAUCCUUGGAAUGGUUUGCUGUUUCCCAACAACCCAUGCUGGGAUUGAUGUUCUUGGUUGAAAAUCUGAUUAGAUUCUUCCAUGACGAAACCCAUGGCCUGUUGUUGAGGUCGAAACGAUGAUGAUGAAGAACAACCCAUUGAUGGAGGAAGAAGAUGAUCAAAUUGGGAACUCCUUGAAGCCCCACCACCACCAAGUUUGAGGAUGUCAGCCGCAGUUUGAUUAUUAUUCGGGUCUUGAAUGGAUGAAAUUUGGGUUCCAACUUGAGAUAACCCUAAGCCCAUAUAAUUGCUAGUUCCGUACAAAUGGGUGCCAAUGGAGUUUAAAGGAGGAGGGUGCCUUGCAGUUUCUUGAGCCAGUGCAUCACAGAAUGCUCUGUGAGUGAUAAAGCUGUCACGUCUGCCAACAGUAACAAGCAUUCCUUUAGAUAAGCUUCAGACACGCAGUAGUAACAAGAAUUUGAACACAUGACUGAUCUUGUCUGCCAUGUUUUUAACAUCAAAUUAUUGGGUUUUUGAAUGUUUUUCCAAUCAAUCAAUUAAUUUAUGGCUACUAGCUAUCUAAAGAACACGAGAUAAGAAAUUGAAAUUGAAUGGAUAAUAACGAAAUUAAAUGAUUUCAUUAUCUUAAUUAAUUGAUUAAUCAAAAAUCUACCCUCAUUUUUACAUUUCACAUAUAAAAAAAUUUUGGCUCAAAUUUUGAGAAGAGUAAAUUUAGUGUGAAAUUAAUAAGUGAAAAAUUGGAAUUAAUAGCCCAUUUCCUAAAUGUUUUCUUUUUUUAAGAAAGGAGUUUAGCUAACAAGAAGAAAGGUUAUUAGAGAAGAAAAUUGAAGGAACCGUAAAGCGACAAGAGAAAUAUAUAUAUUAGUGAAAAGAGAGAGUAGAAGCUAGGAAAUUAAACUAAAAUUAUCCUAAAAGACAGACAAAUAAUUGAAGAGAAGAGAAAUAGGUCAAAAGAAAUAAUCAAAUUGACUUAAUAAACAGCCAUUUCAAGAACUGGGUGCUCAAUAAAUGCGACUAGAGAAUGUAUUCAAGCAAGUGAAAAGUGAUGAAUCAACAACCCCAAUUCGGGAUUUUUAGUUGUUCAAUUAAUGCAGGAGUCAUGGGAAUAUAUCUGAUUUUUCCAGUUAUGAAUAUCGUUUUCUAAAACAAGAAGCUGAAAAAGCUUUCGGGUUUUCAUUUCUCUCUCUUUUUUUAAAAUUUUUUUUUUGAAUUCCCAAAUCAAUCAACUCUGGAACUAUCCCUCCCAUGCGCAAAAUUCCCACUUAAAAAGCAACGAGAUAUUAGACUAGUUAUUUGACUGUUUCGGCUAAAUCGGCACCGGAAUCAGGAUAAACACGACCCGGUUUAAAAACCCGGAUUGGGAGGGUAAUGACGUUAUCAUGAAAAUAGAUACCUGCAAAAGCACAGACCUGAACAUGUCUAGCCAACCCACAAGAGAACAAAUGUAGUAACAACAACACAGCGAACUAUACAUGGCAAAGCAUCACGUGAAUAGGAAAUAAAGUUAAAAAUAAAAAAUAAAAGAAAGAAAGAGAGAGAGGGGGGCGGUUCCAAGUACAAACAAAAGAUGAACUGUUUCAUUUUCUUUUUUCAAUUUUGGAGGUGGGUUUAAAUUUGUUGUUGGAUGGAUUGAAACCUAGCGACCUUGUAUUACCGAUGGCUUUUCCUACAGAUUAUUCACGUGGAACCAUGUUUGUUUUCUGCACUACUCACCAUUUUUGACGACUUAGUUAGAAUUCGAAUAAAUGAGAAAAAGGGGGAAUCAGAUGAAGAUGAAGAAAGUGAAUAAAAGUGAAAGUGGGUUGUGGAGAGUACCUUGAGAAGAGAGUGCCACAGUCACAUCUGUACUCUCUGGUGCCACAGGUCUUAGAAUGAGCUUUCCAAUCAGAUUGCACGGCGUACCUCUUGGAACACUUCUCGCACUUCCAUUUCUUCUCACCAUGUUUUCUCGAGUAAUGCUUUUUGAUGCCCGUAAGGUCCCCAAGUGCCCUCGACGGGUCAUGGUGGACGCAUGUGGGCUCCGGGCAUAGAUACACCUUCUUCUUCACUUCUUUUGUUGUUUUCUGCUUUAGCUUCCAUGGCAAGUUGUGUCCCCUUCUAUGAAGCUGUAAAUUUUGCUCCCUUUGGAACCCUUUGUUGCAUACCUCGCAUAUGAACCUGUUUGUAGCCAUUAAUGUCUUGGGAGAUAGUGCUACCACUUCUGCAUCUGGAUCUGUUUCCAUCAUUUAAACAGAAAACAAAAAACACAUCCCCCUUGUCAUUUCCACUAAAAUAACCUUCAGAAUUUAGGGUUUCUUCUUGUUGGAAUAAGAUUAAGAUCAAUUCUCAUUACUUGAGAUUUCUCACAUACAUACAAAUACAUAUAUGUAGUAAAAAUAAGAUGAAAAAAAAAUUGGAUACUUGCUUGGAGUUCCAGGUUGGUUUCUCUUUUUCUUGGGAGGCGGCGAUGGAUCAACCGGGCCAGUUGAUGAAGUCGGUGUAUGUUGUUGUUGUUGUUGUUGUUUCGUCUGGCUUUGAUUCUCUUCUCUAAUUCCGAAGAAAGGCCCUGAUGAAGAAGAUGCAGUCGCCAUCUUUAACCAAAACCUCACCUUCUUCCUCUUAAUUUUAUUCUUAAUUUCACUUGGUUUUCUACAAAUACUCAGAAAUAAUAUCUACUCAAAAAACCCAUUAAUCUAACGGCAACAACACCACACUGAAAACUCAUCUGCACAAGCUAAGAAGGGGGGUUGGGGUGGAUUAUGGAAGGGUUUUUGAAAUAAAAGAAAGUAGAAGAAGAGAGAAAAGAAAGAAAAUCUAACCUAUGGACAUUUUGGUGCUUUUAAAUGCCAAAUUGUGAACAAACUGAAUUGUUUUUUCCUCUCUUUAUUCGGUGUCAUGCAUAUAUAUCAUCAUCAUCUCAGCCAGAUUAAUUUCUUUAUUAUUAUUAUUAUUAUUAUUUAUCUGAUUGGCUAAUUUUACUUAUUUAAAAAAAAAAAGGAGAAAGAAAAUGAAAAAUGUUUAAGAGAGAUGAAGAAGAAGGAGGAGGUCGGUGGACCCAAUCCAUUAGACGCAAAACGACAUAGGAUGAUGCGUAAGAGCAGCAUGAAGAGAACAGCUCCCCCUUUCCUUCCGUCUCGUUUAUUUUCGUACUCUCACUUGCAGACAAACUUGCUACCCUCACCCCCACUGUAAAUCUAUUUUACUUAAUCAUUUCAAACUUAUAUCUAACUGCAAUCUCUUUGCUUAGCUUCAGCUUUUUCAUAUAUAACCCCAGCAUUUUAUUGGAACAGUUCAAUUUGUGGUAGAAUUUAACCACCACCCUCACCUUAUUUUCUAAUAUUCUUUUUCCUCUCAUAAAAUGUUUUUAUUAUAUAAAUAAUAUUUUAUUUAAACCUCACUGAUUAAUAGUAUUAUAUAUUUUUUUAAUUUGAAAUUUAAAAACAUUCAAAUCUGAUGUAAAACUUUAACAGAAAAAAUUGUAGUGAAAUGCAAAACUCCAAGUGAAAAACUAGGCACAAAAUCACACGAGCAAUAGAUUCUAACUUUCUAGGUGAAACUAAGCUCUUGGGACUGAUUUUUAUUUUUUAUUUUUUUAAAAGUAAUUGUACUUUGUAGGUUCUUUCUUUUUUAAAUGCCGAAGGAUGAAGAAGACUUUCCAGUUUAUCCCAUUGAUUCAGCUUAACUCCGGUUUUGGUUCCAAUUUGGUGUGAUAAAAGAUAGACCAGGAUGUCACAUCAUGAAAUGAAAAUGGGUAUUGUCGUCAUCCUCUUAAAAUUUAUAUAAAUAAAUUAAGGAAACACCUAACCCAAUCACUGGAGAUAAACAUAUAUAUUUUAUCAAAAUUCUAGUGUAUGAGAAUUUAUCAAAAAAUUUAAUUAAAAUUAUAUGUUUAGUAAAUGCAAAUAUUUGGUAUGUUACUAAUGGUGGGGAGAUGACAAGUGUAUAUAUAGGUCACUAAUUUUUUUUAAUAAUAAUAUAUAAAAUAAAUGCCCUAAUUAAAUACUCACAUAAUUAGUAAAUAUAAAAUUGAAGGUUCAUCUUUAUACUUAAAAUUAGUAAUUCAUUAUUCAUUAACAAUUUACACAAAAUUUCAUUAAAAAAAGGUAAUUAUAUUUAACUAUGUUUAGGUUCUGUCCAAACUCCUUUAAUUUAAGUUAUACUCAUAUUUGUAUUUUAUAAUGAUUAAUUUUAUUUAUAAUUAUUUAAAUUUAUUGUUUUUAUAAUUGCUAAUACAGAAAUUUGUACUUGCGCUUUUCUAAUAAAAACCAUCAUUUUAAUACAUUAUUUCUUCUAAAAGAAUCUUUUGUACAUGGACAAGUUCUAAAUAUAUAUAUAUAAUUGUCAAAAAGAAAACAUCAGAUAAUUAAAAAGAGUUGAGAUGCAGAAUUAAUGUGGUCAAGAAGAUGAUAUAAUAAAGUGAAGGGGUGACUUGAAAGUCUUGAAUAAGACAGGUUUUUUUUUUUUUAAAUUAUAAGAAAUUAUCUCAUCAGUUUCAUAAUCCAUUGAAGUUGAUUUUUUUUUAAUUUCACACCAAUUAAAAAGAAAAUAUACAUAUUAAUUUAUUUAUAAAAUAUUUAAUUAAAUAAACAUUUUAACUUGAUUCAUUAAUUUUUUUUUAGCAUUGUUGAUUAAGGUGGAUGUCUUGUGUCUUUGAGUACCCAAAUUUCGUAAUUGUAAUACGUGGAUCUCUAAUCUCAUAAUAUGCGUAUGCCAUAUAUGGAUUUUGUCUUGUACUGAUUUAAUUCUAAAUUAUUGUUACUUCAACAUAUAUUUGUAAUAAUAAUAAUAUUUUAUUUAAAUAUGAGAUUUUUUUCCAUGCCAGCUACUAUAUUUAUUUAUUUUCCUCAACUACUUAUUAGUAAUUAUUUGAUGAGGCUGUAAUAUAGUAUUUAGAGAGGAUGAUAAUUAUUGUAAUUAAUUAGUAUUUAAGGCUCUACUUAAUUUAAACCCCUCAAAUAAAUGUCCCUCAUCAAUAUGAUUGAUGUUUAGGAAAUUAAUUUAAUGCUGAUAUAUAUUCUUAGUAAUUUCUAAAUUUUAUAAAAGAGAAAUAAAUGUUAAUAAAUUUAAAGUAUAGUUAUUAAGUUAAUUUUUUUUAAAAUUCAAUGAAAAUGAUUUAUUAAACAUAAGUAUUUAAAAUUAUUAAUUGAAUCAUCUAUAAUCAAUUAGAUGUUUUAGAAAUUGAAAAAUAUAUAAGGGUGUAUUUAGGGAAGAGAUUUCGAAUUUCAAAAUUUUGGAGUAAUUUGAAGAUGGGAUUUUUGUAGUUCAAUUUCCUUUUCAAAAUCCACUUAAAAGAGGUUAUUUUUCAAAGUUCCUUAUAGUUUUAUUUCAUUUAAUACUAAAACUUCAAAAUUUCUAAUUUAUAUAUAAAAAAUAUUUACGAAUAUAAUGAUAUAUAUAUUGAAUUUUUUAUAUUAUUUGUUUUUAAUAUAAAACAAUUAUUUAUCCAAACAAAUCAAUUAUAAUUGAUGACAUCUAAAAUACUUGCAUUUCAAAAUUCUUCAUCUAAACAUACUCUAAGAAUUUUGUUGAUAUAUACAAAUUAUCAAUUAUUAAUAGAUCUCUUUGGGUAUCCAUUUAGCAUACUAUUGUAAAAAAAAAAUCUAAAAAUUCUUUAUGCCCAUGAAAACCACAUGUUUAGAACAUAGACCCUUGUUUAAAAAUACAUAUAAUAAGUAUGAAAUGUAAUGUUUGAAACUAAUAAUUACGUAGAUGAGAUUAAAAUAAAAAAAUUUAAUUUUAAUUGUGAGUCAAAAGAAAUUUAAAUAGGUAAGCACGUCGUAUUAAAAAUAGUAAAUGCACUCUAAUUGCUUAUCAUGAUAUUGUCAAUUUUUUCUUGAAUUGGCAUAGAGUUUAUUUCUGACACCAACUCAAUUUAUAAUAUUAUCAAUACUAAAAAUUCUAUCACAUGUAUAUGUGUGAAAAUUACAUUUUUAAACACACGCGUGCAUAUGAAAAUUAAAUGAAUAAAUAAAUAAUAUAUAAGAUUUAAAACAAACAAUAAUACGAGUUUGUAUAAAAAUUCAAAAUACUACCAUGUUAGAAUACAUAUAUUUUGUAUUAAAAUAAUUUUGAAAAAUUAUGUUGAAGGUAAUAGUUUUACAUAAUUAUACAUUUUUUUAUGUAAAAAGUUCAAAUAAGGUAACAAUAACGCUUUAAUUAAAAUGGAAAAGUUAAAAGAUUUAAAAUGCUUGAAGGUUUAGGUUUAAAUUUUAUUAUUUGCUUAUUUUUCUUAAGCCUUAUAUAAAGGUAUGAAAUACAAAAGUAAACUUCAAAUAAUACCAAAAUUUGAUUUUUUUUUAUAUUUCUCUUAAUUAAAUUGGUGUCGAAUUAACUUAUAAUAUUAAUUCAGUCACAUAAAUAAUAGUAUAAAUAUACACACAAUGUGGGUAAAAUAGUUUACGUAAUAGUAUUGAAGUGUACUAAAAAAAUAAAACAAAACUUUGUUUAAAGUGAUAAAGUUGAGGUGCUAUCAAUGUGGGUCGCAUGGGUUCAAAAUUUUUUAUAUGUAAAUUUUUAGGGUAAAUUAUCUAUUUAAUCACCCGAGUUUAUUUAUGUUCUUAUUUUGGUCACCCAUUUUAUAAAGUUAUUAUUUUAUUCACUCCCGUUAAAUAAAUUGUCAAUUUUAGUUACUCUACCGUUAAAUGCCUUUUGUCACCUGACGAAAUGCUGAUGUAACAAUCUUUUGAUCCCUUAACACUUUGCACAUUUUGUCACUUUGGUUCUAAUUUUAAAAAAUUCAACAAAUCUAACCUUUAAUAUUUGCACAUUUUGUCAAUUUAGUCCAAAUUCUAAAAAUUCAAAAAAAAUUAUAAUUUUAAAAACUUGAAAAUAUAUAUUAUUUAUUAUAAAAAGAAAUAAAAUGUUAGAUGUUAAAUUUAUAUAUAUAUAUAUAUAUAUAAUUCUUAACUUGAAAUGUAUGUUGAAUUGAAUAGCAAUUACUUUUAGAAAAAGAAAUUCUUAUGUUUUCAGAUAACAAACAAAAAAUCAUUUUUAUUUUUUUGCUUUUGUUUUAACCCAAAACCUUCAAUUACCCUAAACUCAUUUUUUAAGUUAAAAGACCUUUUCAAUUUCUUCAAAAGCCUCUCCUCAAUUAGCAAAAAAAUCAGUAAGUCAAAUAUUAUUUUAAUCCCUUUUUAUAGUUUAAAACUUUCAAAUUCUUCAAAAACACCCUUUUUGAUUAACAUGUUUUAGCUUCAAAAUAAUUUUGGGAAGACAUGAAUUUUAAACAAAAUAGUUCUUGAUUUUUUUCUCUGUUCAACUAUGGAUUUAAAAAAAAAUAAGUUUAUGGGUUUCAAGAUAUGGGUGAAAUUUUAAGAUAAAAAUUGACAGAGGAGAGGUCGAGAAAUCUAUGGGUUUACAAAUUUUGGCAUCAAGAGAUGAGAGGUUGAGAAAAAAAUCCAUAAACUUUAUGCUAAAUAACCAAAAAAAGAAAAGAAAAACUUAAAUUUAUUCAACUAGCAGAGAUCAGAAGGGUUUCAAAACCAUUUUUCUAUUAUUUUAAUUAAAAGUAUAUUUUUAAUGGCCAAAGAUGAUUUAAAAUUUAUAAUGUCGUUAUAUAUAUUCAAUGUUUUAUAUUUUUAAAAUUGGUGACCAAAAUAGGAACGCAAGUAAACUCGUGUGACUAAAUAAGUAGUUUACCCAAAUUUUUAUUGGUUUUCUUAAAAAUAUAAAAAGAGAAAAGUAUCAUAGUAAUAAUAUAAUAUAUUUUAAAUAUGAAAGGGAUUGUAAUUUAACCUACUGAGUUGGUGCCAUUUAACUCGUGACAGCAAACUCAGUAGAACACUCAAUAUUAGUAGAGAUAGUUUUCUUAACUUGAAUUAUUUUUUAUAAUUUGAAUUAAUUGCACCAAAAUCCAAAAAUAUGACCCUCAUUCUAAUUUGAUCCCAAAUUCAAAAAAUUUUAAUUAUAUCCCAAAACUAUUGAUGUUAUAUCAAUCGUGUCAUUCAUUAUUAAAACCAUUGAUUUAAUCUUUAAAUGAUACCUUAAAUCUUAUAUAGCUAAAUUUAAAUGAAAAUUUUUAAAUAAAUAGAACAUUAUCGCAUAACUUUUAAAAGUAAAAACUAAAAAUAAAGUAAACUUGAAAUAAAAAAUGAACGAUAAAGCUUUUGUAAAAGUUUCAAAAACCUCAAUGUAAUACUCAAUUUUAGCCCGGGCUCACAUAUGGAAACAUAAUCUUCAAGGAUAUGUAAUAUUAGAUAUGGUAUGCAAUCUUAGAUAUGAUUUAUGCAAUCUUAGAAGAUAUGAUUUUGUACUAUUAGAGAUUUAAUUUGUAGAUACCUUUUACUCUUAGCCGUUGAUGUAAUUAAUCUGUACCGUUAGAUUUGGGAAGGCUCAACUAUAAAUAGAUGCCUCUCCCUUCAUUGUAAGGGAGGGAAGUUGGGAGUAAUAAUAAUUUUUAAGAGUAUUCCCUCAAAUUUCUCUUUCUCUUGCAUUUUUAUUUUCUUUGGCGUGUUCAAUAGGGUCCUUUCGACUUCAUUUUUUUGCGGAUUUAGGCCCAGAAUUUAUGUCAAAGCUCGAUUUAGUCUUUUGUAUUUAUUAUUUAUUUUUAUUAAAUUUGAUUUUCUUGUUAUUAAGAUUAUUAUUAUUGUUAUUAUUAUCAUUAUUAUUAUUAUUACUAUAUAUACACAUACGCAUAUUUUUUUACAAUAAUAUAUAUACAUACAUUUGUUUAAAAAAAUUUUAUAAACACAUGCACAUAUUAUAUAUAUAUAUAUUUUAUUAUUAUUAUAUUUGCAUAACUUUUAUAUACAUAUAUAUACAUUUACAUUUUAUAUACAUAUACAUUUUUUAUUUCCUAACUUUUAUAUGCAUAUAUAUACUUUUAUAUAUUUUUUACUUUGAUAAAUAUGUAUAUACGUAUGUUUUCUUAUAUUAUUCUUCAUAAAUUUUAUAUAUAUUUUAUUUUCUAAAUUAAUUAAUUUUCAUAUAUGUAAUUAUUAUUAUUUGUUUAUAUNNNNNNNNNNNNNNNNNNNNNNNNNNNNNNNNNNNNNNNNNNNNNNNNNNNNNNNNNNNNNNNNNNNNNNNNNNNNNNNNNNNNNNNNNNNNNNNNNNNNNNNNNNNNNNNNNNNNNNNNNNNNNNNNNNNNNNNNNNNNNNNNNNNNNNNNNNNNNNNNNNNNNNNNNNNNNNNNNNNNNNNNNNNNNNNNNNNNNNNNNNNNNNNNNNNNNNNAUUUAUUUAUUUGUUUAUAUUAUUUCUAUGCCAUUGUUGUCUUUAUUACUAUUGUAUUUGUUAUCACGAUAUUUAUACAUACAUUAUAACAUUACAUUAUCUUUUACUCGAAUUUAAAAAUGGAAAAUUUUUAAAAUAAAGAUUAUACUCAUAUUUAGGAUUUUCAAGAAAAUUGAACCCUAACGCAUUGGGUUCCGAUUUUCUUCGUAAAAUCUAACAAUCGAGGAUUGUUCUUUAAUCAAACAAAAUAAAACUUGUCAUCGGGAAUUCAAUGUGUUGUGUCCUAACGUAUUGGAUGUGACACGUUGAUUUCUCGAGAUAAAGAUUUUUUUAAAAAAUAUAUAAAGGAAAUAUUGAAUGUUUGGGAUUUUAAGAAAUCGUGCCCUAACGUAUUGGGUUGCGAUUUCUUCAUAAAUUUUAAACAAUUAAAUAUUUUCUUAAAUUUUAUUAUACGAGUUUUUUAGACCAACUCAUCUUGAAGAGAAUAAAAUGUUGUGUUAUAACGCAUUGGGUGUGAUAUUUUUUUUUUCAAAAAGAGAAAGUCUUAAUAAAUAAUUUCAUUUAACUAAGGAUAGUAUUUUUUUAAACUCUCGACUUUAAGACAUUAAUUAAUCAAUUUGGUACCAAUUUUUGGGUGUUACGAGGGUGCUAAUCCUUCCUACGUAACUGACUCCCGAAUCCGUUUUUCUGAAACUCGUAGACCAAAGCUAUUUUUUAGGUGAUCCAAUCACACCUUAAUAAAAGAUUGGUGGCGACUUCCAAUUUUUAUUUUUUUUAAAGUCGACAACUAAUUUUUGUUUUUUUUCCAAUAAUAAAAAUGGUUUCGACAGCUUGGCGACUCCACUGGGGACUUUUUUAAAAAAUAAGAGAGUCGAGCCACAAAGUUGAUUAAUUUUUGUCUUAUGGUCGAGAAAAUAUUUUUUUUUUAAAAAUUCAUGAGAUCCUUUUGCAUUCAUUAUUUUCUUGCUUAAUUGAUCUUUGCAUUAUACAUUACAUGAGUUGAAUGAUUUUACCCUUUUAAGUGGGAGUGAGAAACUAUUCCUUCGUGAGGUUUUCACCUCCGUAUAGGAUAGUGGAUCGCUUUCGGAAUACAUUGGUACCUGUGCCUUCGUGAGAUUAUCAUCUCCGUAUAGUCAUAGGGAAAAUGUGUUCCCCUAAACCGAACUUGAUCUAUAUGAGCCUAUAAUGGGUAAAGAUCGAGGAAUCUGCUGGUUCGGGUACCUUUACUUUAGAACUGAACCGCAUAUAAUGAGCCUUAGGAGCCUACCAUAGGUAGAAUCACACCGAAUGCCUAGAGGUCACCCGAAAACUUGGUUUAAAUUUACGAUCAUUUUGUUGUAUUUUGUUCAUUUUUGUUACGAUUAUAAUUACUUCGGUUUGUAAUUACUUUAUUGGUUUGAAUUUUGAUGUUUCUGCAUAUUGCAUUACAUAACCACUUGAUUAUAUCCUUUUAAGUGGGAGUGAGAAGCUAUUUCCUUCGUGAGGUCUUCACCUCCGUGCAGGAUAGCAGAUUGCUUUCGGGAUACAUCCGUACCUAUGUCUUCGUGAGAUUUUCAUCUCCAUGCAGCCAUAGGGAAAUGUAUUCCCCUGAACUAAACUUGGUCUGUAUGAGCCUAUAAUGUGUGAGAAUCAAGGAAUCUGCUAGUUCAAGUACCCUUACCUUAGAGCCAAACUACAUAUAAUGAACCCUAGUUGCCCACCUUAGGAAUAAUUACACCAAACCCUAGUGGUUUCCUGAGUAGAUGCUCAAUUUGUUUCUUUCUUGCUUGCUUUUGUUUUGCACUAACCUGUUUCGUUUUGUUAUGGUUAUGAUUGCAUUGCAUUUUCAUCAUAGAAAAGAUGUGUUGAUUCAUGUUCAGUAUCUAAAUAGAGAGCUUGUCAUAAGAAAAUGAAUUUCUUGAUAAAGUGGGAGAUAAUAUGGUCGUCCAAAUAUAGUCCGAGAAAACGUAACGAGAGAAAGAUGAUGGUCUAAGGGAGGACUACGCAACUUUGUUUCGUUGCCCGAGGAUUCAAAUUGAUAAAGAUUAUUCGAGAGUCGUCAACCUCCCGACCUUUUAAAGAGAAGCCAACGACAUUACGAGGAUGAAUUAGCAACAAUUCGCGGCCCGGAUCAAGCAAAAAGGAGAUAGAAGACACAUUUUUUGGAAAGUUUACGAGAUUUUAACAUUCGGAUAUGAAGAAAGGGAUUGAUGUCUUCACCUGGAGUAUGAGGGCAAGGUCGUAUAAAUAUCCAUUUUAUGUAAAGAGAUUUAUUUUCUAGAAAAGUUGUUCUAAUAGAAUUAAAUUAGAAUCAACGCCUCUCUUCUUUUGCAUUCAUGGCAUUCAUUGCAUUAGCUUUGCAUUGCAUCAUAUACAUUAAAUCUCACAAAAUGACUCUAAAAUUUUGGCAGUUAUCCUAGAAUAUCGGUACACGAGGAAAAAAUAAAGUAAUGGACCAAAGAUUAGAAAGACCUGAACAACUCCAAAGGGAGAGGUAGGACCAACUACUGCUGCAAGAACGUAGCUAAGGUCCAACAAAAUAUGAUGGACAAUAAAAAAUGAAGGAGUUAAAAGAAACGUUCACAUCAAUGUCAUACAUGAAGACAACUGAAAAGGGACCUUGUUAGACAUCUACCCUUAUAAACUUGGGAGUGUUCUGAAUAAUCGGACUGCAGAAGAAAUCCCUGUAGUAUUUAGUGCUUACUUAGAGUAAUAUUCAGAACACACUUGUUACUUUCAGCCUAGAGGCAAUAAGAACUCAUUUGUGAAAUAGGCUAAUGUCUGAACGUCAUUAUUUUAAUGAAAUGUAUCUUUGUGAUCAUUUUUGAGCCAAUAUUCUUUCAUUCUUUACGAAUAAUUAUUUUUUAUUCUUUCAUUCUAUUGGAUUAUCUUCCAAAUAAAUCUUUCAUUCAUAAUCAUACUGUACAGAUUCUUAAAUUCAUACAUUCUUUGUAUAAUCUUUUGUACCUACAAUAGGUCCCUGGAUAUCAACGACAUGAGUGACGCUGCUACAGACUCAGAAUCUCCUUUUGAGCGAGACAUGUGUUUAGAGGGAUCACACAACUUUGAAGAUAACAUAGAUUGUAGCCUAUUUUCGGACUUGUUAAGGAUGGUAGAACAAGUCGAGAAACGGAUCUUACCCUACAAAGAAUCAUUGGGAUACAUGACUUCUCCUUAUGUGGGGCAUGAAGGUCAUUUGGUCGAUCUCGCCAAAAGAAUCUGACGGUUAUCGAUUCAUCUUUCUAGUCGUCAAUUACUUUACUAAAUGGGUGGAAGCUGCUUCAUAUGCCAAUGUCACAAAGUUGGCAGUUAGCAAAUUCGUGAAGAAUCAUAUGUCAGUAUGGAAUGCCAAAAGGAUCAUAUCUGACAAUAUACUAAAUUUGAACAAUAGCACAAUAUCAAAAGUUUGUAGUAUGUUCAUGAUUAAUGCCAUAUUGCCCAAAAAAAAGAUGGCGCAAUAAAAGAUGGCGCAAUAAAAAAUUAAAAAAAACUCUACCGGGGCAAUGCCUUUCUCUUGGGCCCAUCGCGGUUUUGCCUAUUGAAGACAAGAUUCUUUCUCUCUGAGUUUUUGGAUCCAAUUCCAAUUGAAGAGGAAUUUUCAAAGUUAUCCAUCAUGGUCAAAUGCGCCAAAAGCAAAUGAUGCGAGCUCACAAAAAAGGUCCGCCCUAGAGAAUUCCUUGAGAGGGACUUGGUAUUGAAGAAGAUCCUUCCCAUACAAAAAGAACUUUAUCCUAAGCUGGGAAGGACAUUAUGUAGAAUGCCUUAUCUGGAAAAGCGUCAAUUUUUAUCAGAAGGGAUAACAAGGACAUGCCUAAUCCUAUGAGUUUAGAUUCAAUCAAUAAAAUAUUUCAAAAAAAAAAGGAAAGAAAAAAGGAGAGGCCAAUGUGAAAAUCCGCAAAGGACGCCUUGAGACCAAAGGGGAGUUGAGUUGAAAACCCGAAAAGGACGGCUCAAAUUUUGAUCAGAAUGGGACAUGAGGUGAUCAGAGCAGCUCAAAUUUUGAUCAAAUUGAGGCAUGUUGUGAUCUUGUUAUACCUGAAUCAACAGGAAAGGGUAUUUGACAUAUUGGGACAUCGACGAAGUACUGUAGAUCUCCUAAACACAUGUCAAACUCAGAAUGGUCUUCAGAAAGUUUGUAAAGAGAAGCUCAAGCUGCGAUAUCUGGGGCACCCAAUUUUCAUAUUAUUUAUAUUGAAUUUGUUGUUCUUGGAAUACUUCAUUCUUUCCCAAGAUACACAUUCCCAAUCAAUUUCUUUGUUAUCCUUAUUUACUACUUUUUGAUAAUCUAUUCCUUUCGAGCUAUGCUCAGAACCAAUUGUAUUGUCAUCCAUUGUUAUACCCUUUUUGCAAGCAUGUUACAUUGGAAUAAUGAUUCAUGGACUAAUAAAACUUUCACAAGGGAAGUUUGGCAUAUUACUCUAGAAGUUUCUAAAUAAUAUAGGAACCUGAAACAUGACUAUUGUUUAGAACGCACCAUGUUUAAAGGUUGGAAAUUUGAAAAGGAAGAGUCUAAAUUAGGACUUUCUCUUUGGAUUUUGUUGUUAAAAACAUUGAUUGAACAAAAUGACAAAGCUUAAAUAAACAAGUAAGCAAUGAUCACCAGACAAUAGGAAGAGGUUUCCUCGGAGAAGAAAGCCUUCAUUUAUGCAUGAGCCUUUGGAUUACAGUGGGAAAAUGAUGGUACAAAUUUUGCGCCCCAAUGGAUUGAACUUUGAGGUUUACAGUGGAGGGCAACCUGACUAAAUUUUUCGUCAGAAAAGCCAACCAAGCAAGAAGAUGUUGUAGCACAUCAGUGUUAAAGCCUUAAUAAACUUCGAGCAAUGACAACCUAAGUGAAAUCAUUCUCGGAAAAAAAUUAUUAAAAAUUAUGCAUUCGUGCAAACACCAUUCACACAUGUCUAGUUAAGAGCAUUUGAUUCAUUUUAUGCCAUCCUAAUCAUUGGGCAUAAUUAGGUUCAUUAUACAGGUCAUAUUCCCAGAGAGCAGAUUAGUGAAGAUAACAGAUCUUACCUUCCUGCACCGACAGCGUAGCAGAUCGAAGACACCAACCUUGCCUCCUUGGGUUGUAGCGAAGUAGGUUAAAAAUAGUAGAUCUUGCAUUCCUGCACUGACAGCGAAGCAAAUCGAAAACACUAGCAUUGCCUCCCUAGGUUGCAGCGGAGCAGGUUAAAAAUAACAGAUCUUGCCUUCCUGCACCGACAGUGAAGCAGAUCGAAGACACCAGCCUUGCCUCCCUGGGUUGUAACGGAGCAGGUUAAAAAUACCAGAUCUUGCCUUCCUGCACCGACAGCGAAGCAGAUCGAAGACACCAACCUUGCCUCCAUGGGUUGCAGCGGAGCAGGUUAAAAAUAGCAGAUCUUCCCUUCCUGCACCGACAGCGAAGCAGAUCGAAGACACCAGCCUUGCCUCCCUGGGUUGCAGCGGAGCAGGUUAAAAAUAGCAGAUAUUGCCUUCCUGCACCGACAGUGAAGCAGAUCGAAGACACCAGCCUUGCCUCCCUGGGUUGCACCGACAGCGAAGCAGAUCGAUGACCCCAACCCUAUCUCCCUGGACAGCAGUGGAAUAGGUUGAAGAUUGUGAAUCCUAUCUCCCUGAGCCACAGUGGAGUAGGUUGAAAAUAGCAGAUCUUGCCUUCCUGUACUGGCAGUGAAGCAGAUCGAAGACAUCAGUCUUUUCGCCUUGACAUUACAAUGGAAAAGAUUGAAGACACAACGACGAAUCUUAUUUCUCUAGCGUUGUAGCGGAGCAGAUUGAAGCUACGAUGACGAAUCUUAUCUCAUUGGUGUUAAGGCUUGGAUUAGCUGAAGUGGAGCAGAUUAAAGCUGUGGGCAGUGAAUCUUAUCUCUUUGGCAUUACAGUGGAGCAGACUGAAACCAUGACGGUGAAUCUUACUCCCCUGGCGGUGUAGUGGAACAGAUUGAAGCUAUGACGACGAAUCUUGUUUCCCCAACAUUGCAAUUUAAAAGACUGAAUAUGGCGAAUCUUAUCUCCCUGAAGUUGCAGUGGAGCAGAUUAAAGCCAAUAAUCCUAUUGCCUUAAAGUUACACUGGAGCGGAUUAAAACCAUAGAUCUUAUCUCUCUGAAGUUGCAGUAGAGUAGAUCACAUCGAGUCUUAUCUCCCUGAAGUUGCAGUGGAGUAGACUCAAGAAAACAAGUCUUAUCCCCCUGAAAUUGCAGUGGGGCAGACUAAAUAAACAAAUUCUGUCUCCCUAAGUUGUAGUUAGACCUGUCCAUGGGCCGGGCGGCCCGGCCCGGCCCGACGGCCCGCCCGAAAUAUGGGAGGAUUCGGGUAAAAAUAUAGGCCCGAAAUAUGGGCUUGGGCAAAAAAACGAGGCCCGUUUAAAAAAUGGGCCAGGCUCGGGCUCAACUUUUUUGGCCCGGGCUCGGCCCGGCCCGGCCCGAAUAUAAUAAAUAUAUAUUUUUUAUUUUUAUUUUUUAAUUUUAAAAUACUUUUAAAAUAUUUUUAUUUUUAUUUUUUUUAUUUUUAAAAUAUUUUUUUGUAUUUAUUAAAAAUCGGGCCGGGCCGGGCCGGGCUUACUCUUUUUUUCCCGGGCCGGGCCUGGGCAAAAUUUCAGGCCCAUAUUUCGGGCCGGGCCGAGCCCGGGCCUAAGAGUCGGGCCAAAAAAAUUUUCCGGGCCCGGCCCGGCCCGGCCCAUGGACAGCUCUAGUUGUAGUGGAGUGGAUUAGAGUGAUGGAUUUUAUCUCUCUAAAAUUACAGUUAAGCAGAUUAAAAGUUACGAGUCAGCAAUCCUAUCUCUCCGACGUUGCGGUGGAGUGGAUCGAGACACCAAUUCCUAUACCUCUAAAGAUGCAGUAGGAUGGAUGUGGCUGCUUGAAGAAGAAGAGCACCAAGAUCCAGUGUGACCGAGCAAAAAUUGGUCAUUUCUAAAGUCUUUGCUUCGUUCCUGUUACACGACAACGAGCAAAGAGGGGCAGCUGUAAUACCCAAUUUUAGCCCGAGCUCACAUAUGGAAACAUAAUCUUCAAGGAUAUGUAAUAUUAGAUAUGAUAUGCAAUCUUAGAUAUGAUAUAUGCAAUCUUAGAUAUGAUUUAUGCAAUCUUAGAAGAUAUGAUUUUGUAAUAUUAGAGAUUUAAUUUGUAGAUACCUUUUAAUCUUAGCCGUUGAUGUAAUUAAUCUGUACCGUUGGAUUUGGGGAGGCUCAACUAUAAAUAGAUGNNNNNNNNNNNNNNNNNNNNNNNNNNNNNNNNNNNNNNNNNNNNNNNNNNNNNNNNNNNNNNNNNNNNNNNNNNNNNNNNNNNNNNNNNNNNNNNNNNNNGAAUUUAAAAAUGGAAAAUUUUCAAAAUAAAGAUAAUACUCGUAUUUAGGAUUUUCAAGAAAAUUGAGCCCUAACAUAUUGGGUUCCGAUUUUUUUCGUAAAAUCUAACAAUCGAGGAUUGUUCUUUAAUCAAACAAAAUAAAACUUGUCAUCGGGAAUUCAAUGUGUUGUGUCCUAACAUAUUGGAUGUGACAAGUUGAUUUCUCGAGAUAAAGAUUUUUUUGAAAAAAAAAUAUAAAGGAAAUAUUGAAUGUUUGGGAUUUUAAGAAAUCGUGCCCUAACGUAUUGGGCUGCGAUUUCUUCAUAAAUUUUAAACAAUUAAAUAUUUUCUUAAAUUUUAUUAUACGAGUUUUUUGAACCAACUCAUCUUGAAGAGAAUAAAAUGUUGUGCCCUAACGCAUUGGGUGUGAUAUUUUUCUUUUCAAAAAGAGAAAGUCUUAAUAAAUAAUUUCAUUUAACUAAGGAUAGUAUUUUUUUAAACUCUCGACUUGGUAUCAAUUUUUGGGCGUUACGAGGGUGCUAAUCCUUCCUCAUACGUAACUGACUCCCGAAUCCGUUUUUCUCAAACUUGUAGACCAAAGCUAUUUUUUAGGUGAUCCAAUCACACCUUAAUAAAAGAUUGGUGGCGACUUCCAAUUUUUGUUUUUUUCCAAAAAUAAAAAUGGUUUCGACACUCAAAACUAAGAUUUUUAAAACAUCUUUUUUUAUAAUUUUUAUUUUAAAUUAUGCCAUAUAAGAUUUGAUGUGUUGUUUAAUAAUUAAAAUAAUAAUUUUGGUAACGAAAGAACCUAAUUGAUAUGACCUUAUUAGUUUAGGGAUGUAAUUAGAAUUAUUUAAAAUUUACAAACUAAUUUAAAAUGAAGGUCAUAGUUUAAGAAUAUUUAAUGCAAUUAAAUCUUAAAUUUUUUAUAUAAAGGUUUAAAAUAUAUAAUAUGAAUUAAUGGUUUAAAAUUAGGUUGCACUAUUUUCCCUGACCAACUUGGUGCAGAGUUAACUCGUGACACUAACUUAGUUAUAUAUUUAAAUAAUAGUAUUGACACACUUAAAUAAUAGUAUAGAUAUACAAACGAUGUGGGUAAACCAUUUUGUGUAAUGCUAUUGAAAUGUAUAAAAAAUUAAAGAAAAACUUCAAUUGAAGUGGUAAAGUUGAGGUGUUAUUGACAUUAGUGGCAUGAGUUUAAAUUUCAUCAUAUGGAAAUUUUUUAUUGGUUUAUUUAAAAAUAAAAAAAGACAAAAAUACUCUUGUAAUAAUAUAACUUAUUUUAAAUAUGCAAUGGUUAGUUAGUAAUUUAACCUACUGAGUCGGUGUCGCUUAACUCAUGACACCAAAUUCAGUAAAACACUUGAUAUUAGUAGAAAUAUAAACAACGUGGGUGAAACAAAUUGUAUAAUAAGAUUGAAAUAUAUCAAAAUAUCAAAAUAAAAUUUUGAUUGAAAUGAUAAAGAAAAGAAAUUUUAGAGAUGCUCGUACCAUAGGUUCAAAUUUCAACAUUUGUCAUGUUUUAAAAGAAAAUAAAAGGACAAAUGUAUCAUAGUAAAAAUAUAACUUAUUUAAAAUAUGUAAAGUUAAUUUAGUAAUUUUCUUGACUGAGUUGGUGCCAAGUUGACUUGUGACACCAACUCAUCACACACUUAAAAAAUAAUAUAAAUUUAAAAUAUGUAAUGUUAUUUUAGUAAUUUCCUUGACCCAGUUGGUGUCCCGUUAAAUUAUGAUACUAACUCAAUCACACACUUAAAUAAUAGUAUAGAUUAUGUGAUUUAUUUUUGGCAUAAUGUCAAAUUUAAACUUCAAUGUUUGCAUCUUUUGUCAAUUUGGUCCUUAUUCUUAUUUUAAGCUAAAUUUGGCCCUCGACCUUUUAAAGACAGUUAAAUUUGACAAUCAAUCUUUCAAAAAAUGUCAAAUUGUUAUUAUCUUAACGAAAAUGCUAACUAAAACGUUUAACUGACUUUUAAGUAUUUUAGCCCGCAUAGCAAUCCACAUGUACUCCAAUAUGCUAUUUUUUAAAAAAUUUUAAAUUAUUUGUUGAUAUGAUAUAUAAGACAAAUAUAAUGUCAUGUGAACAUAAAGUAUAUAUGGAUUUCUAUGCCAACGUCAUUAAAAAAUUAAUGUUUUAGUUGUCAUUUCCAUUAAAAAAAGGAAUAUGACUUUUAAAAAAAAAAGAUUAAUGGUUAAAUUUAACUAAAAUAAAUAAAUAUCAAAUUAACAAAAAAAUGUAAACGUAAAUACUAUAUUUGAUAUUAUAUCUUUAUUUUUCCAUAAUUUUAGUUACUACAACUUUCACAAACUCAUUAAAUUUAUAUAUUGUGGAGUUUUUUUGUUUAAGGAGUUAAGAGUUAGUAAAUGUGAACACCAACCUGUGAAAUAUUAUAUGGAGGAAAUAAUAUCGUAGGUUUAUAAUUUUAUUGAUUAAAUAUUUUAAUUUAGAGUUUUCAAAUUAAAUCUUUACUAAAUAGCUCGAUUAAUACAUAUAUAUUCCCAAAUUUAUUAUGUACUAAUCUAAAUACGUUGGAUAAAGAUUUUUGCUUCUAAUAAUAUUUUCAAAUUACAUUGCACAAAAAUGAAAAAGAAAAAUACACCAUAUAUUUAAUGUUUUGAGCCUAACUAUGAUUUUAAGGGGUGUUUGAUUUGUCGAAUAUAACAUUACGGCCCACAAUUUUACAUUCUUGUAAAAUUCCUUACCCUACCCAUUCGCAGGAUCCAAGCUAUAGGAUGCCACGUUCGUUGUCAGAACAAUUACAACUACUUACAAAACAAUUUAAUCAUUUAUGCAUGCUAACAAGUAUAAUACAUACUCGUGACAUGAUGCACAAUCAUUUUAGGGUCUUAUACAAGCUUACAAAAGCUCUUUUACUAACCCGAGGUCAGUUAAUGACUUAAUUGAAAAGUUUUCAAAAUUCACGGACUGACAUCGCGACAUCAUGACUAUCACGUUGCGACUUCAUCAAUUAGUAAGUGUCGUCACGACUUCAGAAAACUCGGUAUCGCGAUGCCAUUCACUGUCGAUUUAGGUUGCGACAUUCAAGACUUGUUGCGACGUUACCCCCUAUUUCAACAAAAAUCACUUUGAAACAGAUUUGACACUUUCUACCAAAACAUUCAUACAUUCAUUUGUUCAUUCCCAAUUCAACAAGUUAGCAUAUCAUGCAAGUUUAGGUACAUAAGCUUACUAAACAUCUUGAGAUCAAAGAAUUCAAUUCUUGACAUAAGUAUGCCAUCUUCCAACUUUGACAUACCAAGUCACCACAUAUUUGUAGGUUUUAACACAUAAGACUUAUGCAAGCUUUGAAAUCAAUAAUCAAAAUGGCAUUAAACAUGACCAAAACUAAGCACAAAUUAGGCCAUUUACCAACUUUAAGACCUUAGCUCACAGAUACAACAUUGACAUUUACAUUAGAGAUGAUCAUUUACAUAAAAAAAAAGACCCUAUAUACAUGCUGUAAUAAGCCCAAUUUGCCCGGGCCCAAAAUCACAAACAAAAUUAAACUAAAUAAAAAAUUAAUUAAUUAAAAGUCCAAAAAAUAGCAUAGUCCGUUUCUUUACAACAACAGGGCCAAAUCCGAGUAGGCCCAACUAGCCUAAAAUUUCAAGACACCCUAAGCCCAGACCCAAUUUAGCCCGGAUACCCCUGGCCCAAAUCACCUAAGCCCUAAAGACCAAAAUUAGAAAACCUUAGCCUUCAGCAGCAUUGGCUCCCAGCGCCGCAGUGGCCAAGCUUUCCCCCCGCGCGUGCUGUGCCACCACGCGCGUAUGCGUCUCCUAGCUGGCCUCCGUACACGCCACGUCCAGCCCCCGUACGAUCGCACCUGCAAACAGAAUGAAAACAACACAGCAAAGAGGAACCAAUGGGGGUUUUCUAUUUUAUUUUUUGAUUUCAAUUGUAUUUUCAUUUUCGGCUUCUCGGUCAAAAAAAAGAGAGGAUAUAAGAACCGGAAGAAUGAUUGUACUACUACUUACGCAAAAAAAAAUACAGAGAAAUCAAAUUUGAAAAGAGGUGAUUUUCUGGGUUUUCAUUCCUUUUUAUUUUACUAGUUAUUUGAUUCUUUUCUGGGCUUUCUGUUUCUAAUUUGCAUGUUCAUCGAUCGUUGUUUAAAAGAGAAAUAUUAGAAAAGAGUAAGGGACGUACCUGGUGGAACGGUUCUGGCCCUCUCUCCGUCGUCAUCGGAAUACGGGCUAGGAUCGGCGAUGGUUCGGAUACUCAGUAAACAGAGCGGCGCGGAGAAAGAGCUUAGGUUUUAAAAAAGGAAAUAAAGUUGUUAGGUUAAGUGUUUUUUUAGUUUUAUUUUAGUUUUAAUCACCGGAUUUAAAACGGUGUCGUCUAAUGACCAAACCCGCGCAGUGACCCGACCCAGGGCAGGAUCCGCGCACUUGGGUUCAUCGGUCUAUUUGCUUCACAAGUCCCUCUUUGUUUUGUUUGGUUUCAAUUUGAUCCCCUUUAUCUUUUAAAAUUUAUACGGCAUAUUUGAUUUAGUUUUCAUUUAGCCCCAAAUCUAGACGGUGCCGUUUCUUGGUUAUUGAUUGAGUAUUCCAAUGUUUGCGUAUAAUUAUUGCUUUAACCCUUAACUUUUUGAAAUGAAUUUUAAUUUAGUGCUAAUUUAGUCUUUUUUUCUUAAAAUUCGAUGUUAAAUUUUUAUUAUAAUUAACUCUAUUUUCAUAUAUUAUUGUAUUUAAUAUUUUUGAUGAUAUUUAUUUUGAUAGAGUUUAAGUUUACUAUUAUUAUGGUCUAAAAGUAAAAUAAAUUACUAUUUUAGUCUUAUUUUUAUAUUUUCAAAAUCCAUUAUAUACCAAUAUUGUGAAUCUAUUGUAUAUCAUCUUAUUUCGUUUUCUUAACAUUAUUAUUCUAUUUUCAUUUGAUGCUUUGAUUUUAAAAUUUGUUGGUUACUAUCUUCAAUUUAAAAAAAAAAACCUGUUACUAUGUUCAUAUAUUAUUUUAACAUUAUUGGCUUAAUUUUAUUUUUAAACUUAUUAUUAGUAUGAUUUAUAAGAUGUGAUACACAAUUCCUUUAAAAUUAUUAUCAAUAUAUAUAUGUGCAUAAAAUGUAUUAUAACUUGUAACUUAUAAAAUUUUUAUUCUAUGCUUUGAAAUUUUUAUUCAUUUCGAUUAUUUUAAUUAGUUUACUUGUGAUUAAAUUAUUAUUAUUUUGCUAUUUGUAAGACUGGUUAUUAGUUAUUUGAUUAUUAAUGUUGAUGCAUUAUAUGUUUGAUUGCUCCAAAUUGUAGAAUUAAUUUGUUAUUCAUCAUUUGCUUUGUAUAUUGUUAAUCAAUCAUGUUGUUUGUAAGAAUUUCAUUUCAUUAAGAUAUUAUAUUCCUUUCAUUUCAAAAUUCAAAAAGGGCUUGGUGUUAAAUAAUUCUCGAGAGAAUUGUGCCCUAACUUACUGGGCUUCAAUUCUUCUCGAUGAAUUUAUAUCAUCAAGUAUCCAUUUCUUUUUAAGAUGUAUAUUUUUAAAAUAAAAUUCUUUAGAUUUCAAAAUGUUGGAUCCUAACUUACUGGAUAUGACAUUUUGUUAUCUCGUUUUUAAAUAAAGGUAAUAUUUGGUGUUUAGGAAUUUUAAGAAAAUUGAACCCUAACUUACUGGGUUUUGAUUUCUGGAUUGAUCUAAAUAACCAAAUAUCCUUCUCAAAAUGUAUGAUUUUUUUAAUUUUAAAAAAAGGACGAAUCUAACUUCGAAAAUUGAAUCGUUGCGCUCUAACUCACUGAUUGUGACGAUUUAUUACUUUAAAGUGGGUAAGUCUUAUUUUCCAAUUCGAUUAUUAAAAUUUUAUUUUCAAAGGAUUAUAUUCUAAAAUCUUUUCAAGUUUCGACACUAAGACAUUAAACAAUCGAUUCGGUACCAAUUUUGGGCGUUACAAGGGUGCUAACCCUUCCUCGUGCGUAACCGACUCCCAGACCUAUUUUCUCAAAUCUCGCAGACCUAAAAUUUAUUUUUAAUGGUGAACCGAUCACACCUUAAUAAAAGAUCGGUGGCGACUCCCCAUUUUCAUUUUUAAUAAGUCGAUAAUAAAAAUUUUGAUUUUUCAAAUAAGUGGUUUCGACACAUGCCACAUUAUUAAGUACCAAAAUGAACAUACUUCUACCGUCUUGAUGAUAGUGUGAUAUCCACACUGAUCUGGCUUUGUGAGUUCCGUAAUCUAGGGGUCUACAUGCAAGGAAAACAAUAAUAGGUAAGCAUUUAAUGCUUAGUAAGUUCAAAUGGAAAUUACAACACUUACCUUGCUCACAGUUGAGCAUGUUGCUACUAAAAGAUUAGGCAUAUAUCUAGCUAGAACAUGUCACAUAAUAUCACAACAAAGUGAGCAGAAUAAACAUAAGGCAUUAUAACAUGUCCAAAACAUCACCAAAUUAUACCAAUUCAUAUAAGAUAAUCACAAUUCCAUAUACUAUCACCAAUCUACUAGUUCAUACCAUUUCAAUUUUAAUCACAUAUCUUAACAACUUAUCAAAUUCGAUUUGUUUCAUUUUCCGAUUUCAAGAUUCAGUUUCAACGUUUUACCUGAUGGAAUCCUAGUAAAAUGGACUCGGACACAUGAUGGAACUACACUACUCCAAGAUAGCUCAUAUAAGCAUAAACUACAUCACACAAAGGCACAAAAGUGCAAAGCCCGUAGGCAUCAAAUGUAUAUUCUUAUCCAAAUACAUCCCUCUACUACAAUAAGGUCUCCAUAGAGACAGUGAAUACUCGAUGAUUCUCAACAAAUUCCGGAUCCUAAAUUAACAUAUCAUAACCUCUUUAUUGUUAACUAUCUCAUACACAAGCGCAAUAUGACCUUAUUGGCAUGCCAACUAUAUCCUAGCCUUUUACUAAGUUCACAUGGGCAUCAAUCAUCCAUAUUUUCAUUUUCAGAUCUCGUAAGUAUCACAUCUUAAUUUUCAAAUACCGUCGAUUGAAUCUGAACAUGAAUUAUGCAUUCAUUUAAUGAUACAUUUUAAGACAUUUCCAUGUUGGAAAAACAGAUUUGGAAAAUGCAGCGGGAAAUAAAUUUAACGAAAAACUAGAGUUAAAUUUUUUUUUUCAAAACAAGAUCUUGCUUGUUAUAUCUAAAGUAAUAAACACUUAAUCAAAAUUGUACCUUUUCGAUUCAUCUAGGAUGAGCGCUUCGACCGAGUAGUCUUCUUCACUAUCAUCAAGCUCACAUCUGCCGAGUGUGGGCUCGUUUCAAAUUAGAAAAUUUUUCACAAAAAUUACCAAUGGGGUAAUUUUGUAAUUUCUUUAAACUUUUGAGUCAAGUUGUAAAUUAGAAAAAUAUUUUUAUAAAUUUUCUGGAAUAAUCUAUUCAGAGAUUUUUCUCUCUACACUUUUCUCUUGAAUUCAAGUGUGUAACUAAUGACCCAAUGCUCUGUUUAUAUGGGGAGAGUUUAGAGAGUUUAACUAUGAUAUUUAUCAAGAUAAAUAUUAGAUUAAAUUUAAUAUUAAAUAUUAUUAAAAUGAUAGAAUGUUUAUCUUGUAGAUAAAUAUUAAAUUAAUUUAAUAUUUACAUAAUCACUUUAAUAUUAAAUUUAAUACUUAUCUUAUGUUAUUUUAUGUUAUUUUGUAAGUAAUUUUUAGUUUUUUACCAUUUGCAGUUUUAAGAGAUUCUGAUGUUUUAUUAUAAUAUUUUGUUGGAAUUAUCCUUCUCUAAUGUAGUUUUGGUCCGCUCCUGUAUCAAAAAGGGCUAUUGUUUCUAAUUGAAAUUCAUUAUUUAUAACAGUAUUUAUUUUUAUUAAAUAUCUUUGAAUAGAUACUUCAGUUAGAAUCAUCAUAUAUUCUUGUGUAUUUUCUUCAGGUUCAGGUUCAGUUUCUGACAAACUUUUUUCUGCGGUUUCGUGUUUUAAGGACCUCAUUUGUUCUUUCAUUUCUUGUUGUUCUGUUUUAAGCUGAGAAAGUUCUAAUUUAAUCUGUUUUAUUUCCAGCUGUAAUUCAGAAUUUGUAAUUUGCCUUGGUUUUAUUUUUUCAUAUUUAUUAAAUAUUAUGUCUUGUAUAUUAUACAUUUGUGAUUAACAAGAAAUGAUUUCUUUUUCUUUUUCUUUUUCUGGUUUAUCUUUUAAUAAGGAUUUUAAUUUCAAAAAGUAUUCUCUUUUAAGCUCUAGGUCUUGAAUUUUAUCAAUAACUUCAAUCAUAAAUUCUUGAUCUUUGGUUAACAUGUUAAUUGAAGGUUCAUUUUCAUCACUAGAAGAUUGAGAUGUUGUAUGUAAUUCAUCUAUUUGUAAUUCAUCUGUUUCAGUAGAUGUAUAAUUUUCAAAAGAAAUUGUUUCUAAUAGGAUUUCAUUUAAUUUUUGUUCUAUCUCUUCAUCUAAAUUUAAAUUAUUGAUUUUUCUUUUGAUUUUACAAUAUUUUGAAAUAUGUCCUGGUUUUCCACUUCUAUAACAUUUUAUUGUUUUAUCAAUUUUGUUUUCUGUCUUUUGUUGUUUCUUCCCUUUUCUGUAUUUUCUAUAUUGAGGUUUUUUAUAAUAUUCUGAAAUAUUCUUUUUCUUAUUUUUUGGCUUUUCAGGGCAACAUGUUUUUGAAGAAGAAGGUUCAUUCCUGAUGUCAAAUUGGUGACAGAAUGAUCCUAAUUCAUUUCUACAUUGAUAUCUUUCUUUCUUAAUUUGUUUUUGUAAUUUUAAAUCUUGACAAAUUUUUAAUCCUUCUUUUUGGGUGAAACUAAUUAGUUCACCUUAUGUAAGAUUUUCAUAUGGAAUAAUACCUUUGUAAUUUUCUCAUAUUUGAUUCCUAACUUUUUCUCCUAAUAAAGCGGGAAGUUCUGCUAUAAAUUUUUCUUUCCAAAAUGGUUGUUGGUUAUCAGAUCUUUGCAUAACUCUAGUCAUAAAGACAUCUUUAUACCAUUUAAAAUCGAUUAAUUUUUUUCAUUUUAAAUUUGAUAAUAAUUCUGAAAUUCUAUCUUUAAGAUGACAAUGAUCUCCAAUAAAGUGUUUAGAGAUUGAGAAAAUUAAAGUUGCUACUGCAUCUUGGAUUUCUCUUCCUUGUUCGUCUAAAAUAAUUCUAUCUUGGUCAUCUUUUUUAUUACUUUUAAAAUUUCUUCCUGUUGGGUUUUAGUGAGUGCAUGAUCCCACCAUUCUUUUAAUUGACCAGUAAAUCCAGCAACUAAAAGAUUAGCUAUAGCAUGAUCACUGAUUAAUCCAUUUUGAUUUUGGGUUUCACUGAUUAAUCCAUUUUGAUUUUGGGUUUUAUAAACAUUUAAAACCAUUGUCAUUUGUUGUAAUAAACUAAGAAUAUUGUAUUCAGACAUUCCAUCUAUAUUUCAUUCAUAGAUUGUAUUAGCAUUGUAUUUAUUUUGGAAAACAAGUUUUUCUUCUAUGUUAAGAUCAGAUGCAGUGAUUUUUGGAUAAUAUAAUAUUUUUGGUUCUUUCCAAGCCAUCUUGUUAAUUUGUUGUUCAUCUAACUGAUCCGAGUCAGAUUGGGAAGAUUGGUGUAAUGUAUUUACUGAAUAUUGGGUUUGUAUUGGGGUAUCAGGGGCAAUUAAUUCAAACUUGUAGCUUUCCAAAUCAUUACGUCUAUUUUUUAUUUCUGUUAGGAAUUCAUUUUGGGAUUUUUGGAAAACAAGUUUUCCAUCUAUAUUCCAUUCAUAGAUUGUAUUAGCAUUGUAUUUAUUUUGGAAAACAAGUUUUUCUUCUAUGUUAAGAUCAGGUGCAGUGAUUUUUGGAUAAUAUAAUAUUUUUGGUUCUUUCCAAGCCAUCUUGUUAAUUUGUUGUUCAUCUGACUGAUCCGAGUCAGAUUGGGAAGAUUGGUGUAAUGUAUUUACUGAAUACUGGGUUUGUAUUGGGGUAUCAAGGGCAAUUAAUUCAAACUUGUAGCUUUCCAAAGCAUUACGUCUAUUUUGGAUUUUUGUUACGAAUUCAUUUUGGGAUUUUUGGAAAGUUUUUGGAAUAUCAUAAGGUGUGAAUAUGGGUUCUUUGGAACUUUUUUCGAUUAUCUCUUUUACUGAUUCUUUCCUGAUUGGUUGACUCUUUACCAGAUUCUUAAUAUAAUCUAAUUGUUUUCCUAUUGUAUGAAGAUUAAUAUUUGUAUAAUUGUUUUGUUCUACUAUCAUUUUAAUAUCUUUUGAUGAGAUCUGUUCUCCUGCAUCAGGAGCUCUCAUUCUUAAAGGGUUUGCUUUUAUUCCAGUAUUCUUGUGAAGAUAUUGAACUUCCAUUAAAGGGGGAUGUCGAGAUUCAACUUCUUCUUUAUUAGUCUACCAUCUAGUAUUUGUCUUAUUGUAUUAACAGAUUCUAAAUAAUAUUCUUCAAACCAUUCAAAGAAUUUUAUAUGGACUUGAUGGGUAUUCAUAAAUCCAUAAUAUUCUUGAAGAAUGCUUUCUUUUUUAUCAUUAUAAUUUUUAAAGUAAUCUUCCCUUUUUUUUCUUAUUUUUGUUAAAAUAGAAGUGCUUUCUACACCAUUCUUUAUUUAUUUCAAACGUUUUUUCUAAAACAAAUAUUUCUGAAUUUUCUCCUUGUCUUGCAUUAUUAGUCAUUGAUGAAUAUGUUGGUGACAUAUUAGGUGAAUUUUGGGGACUCUCUUCCUGUCUGGCAUAGAUAGGUUGAGUUAUAUUUGAGGAAUUAUCUAUUCUUUGUAAAUUGGUUCUAAAUGCUGUUGGGAUAGAAGAGACAGAGGCUCUGGCCGUCCUAAAAUCUACUGUUUGUGUUUCUGGAUUUGACUCUUCUUCUAUAUUUAACCUCCUAAAGGUUGUGCUGGUACUUCCUAUUUUGAAUGAGUAUCUUGAAGGCAUUCUUUGUGGCCUAUUGAAUUUUAAUUCGACUGUGUCAUCUUGGUGCUGAGAAAUUUCACUUAAUGAAGUGUUUCUUAUGGGGGUUAGUGCCACGGGAUCUGUAGCACCUUCAAGUUUCCACUUAUCAAGAAGAUUUAUCUCAUGCCAUUGUAUUGUUCUUGGGAUUGUGGUAUAAGAUCUUGUGGUGUCUGUCUCUAUUAAGAGGGUUUCUCCUUUUGGGCUUUGGAGUAAAGCCUUGUUUUUAACAACAGAAUACAUAGCUUUGAAGGAGUCUAUACACUAAAUUUAAUACUUCCGUACCAGGAAGCAUUUUGUAGUUAUGGGUAUGUAUUUGGAGGGUCAAAGAUUGUAAAAUAUUUUUAUCAGUCAAAGAAACCAUAAAAUUUAGAUAACAAUUAAAAUGGAUUGGGCCUGUACAUAGGCUUGUUUCUAUAGUUGCUAAUAAUGAGUCAUUAAACAUUAUGUGUCUUUGGUCUCUUAAGACUACUAAUAUUGAGGUAUUUUUAGUGGCUUCAACACUAAGAGGUUUGACUCCAACCUGGACUAAUCCAAAAUGGAUAUAUUUGUAUCUUUGUUCUUUGAGUUUAUUAAUGACGACUUUAUCUAAUAAUUGGAUUGUUUCAUUUUUUUUGAAUAGGUAAACUCCUUUCUUUUGUUUUUAUAACAUAACUGCAAAAAACAUUUAAAUUUUCAAAAGUUAUUUUUUUGUAAACUUGGUUUGUUGGAACUCUUGAAAGAGUCCAAUUAUCAAAUCUUUGGGGAAUAUUUUCAUAAUGUUCUUCUUGUUUAUUAACAGUGUUGUUUGAGGUUUGGUCUGAUUCUUGGGAUUGAUUAGAAACAAAGCUUGCAGAAGAAUUGGCUCUUCUAAGGAAAGGAAACAUUCUUUGUUUUCUUAUUUCCUAUAGGGGGUUCUACUAUUUAGAUUUCCAAAUUAAUUAAGUUGCCUACAGGGAUACUAUGUCAUUAGCAUGCCUAACCCAUGGCUAACUGGACACUGUAUCAAUUCUCAGCAAAAUAAUAAUACAUUAAUGAAGAUAGUUAAACCAGAACUCGGAAAUAUUAAAAACAAAUUAAAUUUUUUCUUAAACUUAGAAAUACCUGCUCCUCCUUGGCUCUGAUACCAGUUAGUCCCGAGGAUCUGAUGAUCGGAUUGGUAAUAAGAUAUUUGUAAUUUGAAAACUUAAGUUUGAAAACUUAAUUUGAAAAUUUGGAAACUUAAAAUUAAAUUUUGAAGAAGCUUUUUGGAAAAUUUGGAGAAACAAUUCAAAUGGGUAAAUCGAGUUUUGUCUUUCAUUCUCAAACUGAUAGCCUUUUAUAAAGGGCUAUUCUCUCUUUACAUUAUCUGAAUCGGGAAAUCAUUACAUUUGAAACUUUGAUUAGAACUUUUCAGAGAAUAUAGUCUCUGAUUACAAAAAUACAAAUUGCAGAACUAUUCACCUGUCUUUUCUUGCAGGGAAUAUUUCUUGUUCACGCAGUAUUUUGUUGCAGGGAAUCUCUCCUGUUCACACAUCAUUUCUUGCAGGGAAUCUUUCUUGUUCACGUAUCAUUUCUUGCAGGGACUAUUUCCUGUUCACGUAUUAUUUUGUUGCAGAGAAUCUCUCAUGUUCACACAUCAUUUCUUGCAGGGAAUCUCUCCUGUUCAUACAUCAUUUCUGGUAUUAUUUCUUUUUUGACCUGGUGAUGGUUACCGAAGUGGUAUCAUCUGCAAGAUUCACCAUCUUGAUUAAGGAUGCUGAAGAUUCUUCUUCAGAUUCGGAGUCUAAUGAGCUGAGCAUUUUAGCCAUGAGUUUUUUGUAUUCUUUUUUGGUCUUGGCUUGAGCUAACAUUGCACUGGUUGUCGACUUUGCUUGAAGAAAUUUUACUGUGGUUUGAUCCGGGGCUGCGGACUUACAUAAUCUUGGAUUCUUGUUGAAAAAAUUAUCCAAAUAUUUUGAAUCAUAUUUUUCAUCAUUAAAUUUGUCCCACCAUUUAGUCCUGUACUUGCGAACUAAUAAUGGAAUUCCAGUAUGUUGGUCUUGCUCAUAAGAAUAAUUCCAUGAGACAAUCCAAGAAAUGCAUAGUUUUGAGAAAAAAAUGGAUUGUCCUGUAAAUGUGUUUUUGAUCUGGUUCCGGAUGAAAUUUGUCAAAGAAUUUGGGCCAUAAGUUUUGAAUUUUUUCUGGUAGUAUCUCAAAGGAUGAUGGUCCAUACCAAUUCCACCACUCUUGGAACCAGUUUGGGAAUUUAAAUUGGGUGCCAUAUUUGAAAUAUAUGAGCCAAAAAUGUCUCAUGUGUUGGUUGUUCAUUAAGAAGACAUUGUACCAUGCCAUUUGGUAAUCCCAAUAUGUAAAAUAUGGGUAAUGGUCUAUUUUGGUGGUAAAUUUGGCUGGGAAUUUCUUUGGAGAAUUUGGGUUUUCACUCCAAUCUCUUGGUCGAAGAAUUUUUAAUAUUUGGGUUGUUGAAUGGGUAAUAAAAUUUGGAUCUUUUGGAUCUGUGUAAUGUUUGAACAAUACUGAUCCAGUUUAAACCAGUAUAUUUUCAUAAUACUGUUAGGGUUUUUGAGAAUCCAAUGGUUUGAAAUGUCAUCCAUUGAAAAGUUCUUUUGCAGGUAUUUGUGGAGGUUUUUCUGAAAAUUCUUCCUCCAAAACAAGAAUUUUUUCAAAAUAUUUGUUUGGAAAUUAUUGUGAAGAUUUUUGUGUAGCAGUCUGUGAAGACACUGCUAUCUCUUUUGGAAAAACAUCUUGGAGAGAAGUCUCUUUUAAGACAUUUUUAACAGAUUUUGGUUUGUGUAAAACGAUCUCUUUAUUUUUUGAAACCCUUGCUGCUUCAGCAGCAAUUUGUUUGAGAGGAGUUUCCUCUUUCAUUUGUGAAAAAGCCAAUGCUACUUCCGGAGAUUGAGAUAGGGACUCAAUCCAUUUUUUGAUUUGAGAACCAAUCUCAUUUGGAUCUUGUGCAUCUUGAAUUAUUGUAUUUUUGGAGGAUUUUGACGAUGAUGAUGAUUUCUCAUCUUCUUCAUGGCAAAUUUCAUACCAUGACUUAAUUGGUUUUGAGGUGAUUUGGAUUUUGGAUGAUUAUUCUAUUUUCCCUUUUCUUUUGUCUUAAAGUUUGGGGGGCAUUUUUGAAGAAACUCUCUGGUGAGAAAAUCAGGCAAAGAAUUAGUUUCUCUUUUGAUGUUCAAUAUCAAAAUCAAAUAUGCUCAAGAUUGCUUUCCAUAUUGUAAAAAUCUGUUUUGAGGCAAUGUUUUGAACAUCUUUUUGUAAAACUUCUUUUGUUGAUUUGCAAUCAAUUCGUAAAAGAAAUUUUUGAUUUAAUAAAUCACUUUGGAAUUUUGUAAUGCACAAAACAAUUGAUAAAAUUUCUUUUUUAAUGGUACUAUAAUUUUGCUGAGUAGGAUUCCAGUGUCUGGAAGUAAACUGGACUAUUUGGUCUUUUCCUCCUUUAACUUGUUUUAGGAUCCCACCAU